AGUUGCGUGAGUUCUGAGCAAAGACUUGGUUGUGGAGAGGUCAUUAUAGACCCCGGCAAUGGGAAGAACAGAAGCAUAAUUAAACUGCCUCCAUGGAGGGUAGCAAGCAAACAACUUUGAGGUCUGCAGAGAAUCUCAGCCUCCCCUCAGUCCAAAUGGUUGUGAUGAAUGCCAGUGCGGACUGCAAUCACUGCAGGGAAAGGGUCUCCAAGGUUGUCUCCAGGAUGAACUCAGGACUGCUGGAUUACACGUUCGACUUGCGCAACAAAGAGGUGACAGUGACGGGGGUGGUUGUGGACACCAGAAACUGCAAGCAAGCCAAAGGAUCACUGCUUACCAAGAUAAAAAGAUCUCUCCAUGCUCAUUGGCGCUCUUUAGACUGAUCUGUUCUGCUGUGUUUUAAGUCUUCCACAAUGCGUAAUCCCACUCCAUUUAAAGCCUACUAUUAGGAAUUGGGAUCAUGGGCUGAUUUCAUAUAUAAAUCUUAUGUAAAAUCGUAUAUAUACUAUAAAAAAAAAGAUUAUGAUAAGAUUACAGUCAUUGUAACUUUUCAUUUUAUGGAUAAAAUCCAUUCAUGUU
Molecule: long non-coding RNA, 579 nt
Organism: Musa acuminata AAA Group (dessert banana)
Lineage: Eukaryota; Viridiplantae; Streptophyta; Magnoliopsida; Zingiberales; Musaceae
Exons: 3
Source: RefSeq, a predicted model, not a curated record